GCCUGCCCAGUGACAUGUUCAACGGCCGCGGUAUCCUAACCGUGCGAAGGUAGCGUAAUCACUUGUUCUUUAAAUGGGGACUAGUAUGAAUGGCAUCACGAGGGUUAUACUGUCUCCUUUUUUUAAUCAGUGAAACUAAUCUCCCCGUGAAGAAGCGGGGAUAAAACUAUAAGACGAGAAGACCCUAUGGAGCUUUAAACUCACCUUCAGGUGCCGGCUUCUCUCUACCCCACUUACAACCACCCAGUCACCAUGAAGCCAAGUCUUAGGUUGGGGUGACCGCGGAGCACAAGAAAACCUCCACGUUGAACUAGGCCUCUAAGCCUUGAGCAAAGGGCCACGACCCUAUGUGCCAAAAAAUUUUCAUCUAUUGACCCAUCUUUUUGAUCAACGAACCAAGUUACCCUAGGGAUAACAGCGCAAUCUGCUCCAAGAGUUCAUAUCGACGAGCGGGUUUACGACCUCGAUGUUGGAUCAGGGUGUCCCAGUGGUGCAGCCGCUACUAACGGUUCGUUUGUUCAACGAUUAAAACCCUACGUGAUCUGAGUUCAGACCGGA
RNAcentral lists this ribosomal RNA (558 nucleotides) under Scinax auratus. Its description in RNAcentral is "partial large subunit ribosomal RNA". It matches the Rfam family "Bacterial large subunit ribosomal RNA", at positions 1857 to 2620 of the family's 2925-position model. Lineage: Eukaryota; Metazoa; Chordata; Amphibia; Anura; Hylidae. The record is from RNAcentral.